This 446-nucleotide ribosomal RNA is filed under the name uncultured bacterium. RNAcentral's name for it is "partial 16S ribosomal RNA". It matches the Rfam family "Bacterial small subunit ribosomal RNA", at positions 338 to 795 of the family's 1533-position model. The record is from RNAcentral.
CCUACGGUGCGCAGCAGUCGAGAAUCAUUCACAAUGGGGGAAACCCUGAUGGUGCGACGCCGCGUGGGGGAAUGAAGGUCUUCGGAUUGUAAACCCCUGUCAUGUGGGAGCAAAUUAAAAAGAUAGUACCACAAGAGGAAGAGACGGCUAACUCUGUGCCAGCAGCCGCGGUAAUACAGAGGUCUCUAGCGUUGUUCGGAAUCACUGGGCGUAAAGCGUGCGUAGGCUGUUUCGUAAGUCGUGUGUGAAAGGCGCGGGCUCAACCCGCGGACGGCACAUGAUACUGCGAGACUAGAGUAAUGGAGGGGGAACCGGAAUUCUCGGUGUAGCAGUGAAAUGCGUAGAUAUCGAGAGGAACACUCGUGGCGAAGGCGGGUUCCUGGACAUUAACUGACGCUGAGGCACGAAGGCCAGGGGAGCGAAAGGGAUUAGAUACCCCAGUAGUC